This 646-nucleotide ribosomal RNA is filed under the name Schizonycha sp. spSA19 DA-2012. RNAcentral's name for it is "eukaryotic LSU rRNA". It matches the Rfam family "Eukaryotic large subunit ribosomal RNA", at positions 663 to 1266 of the family's 3401-position model. The record is from RNAcentral. Lineage: Eukaryota; Metazoa; Arthropoda; Insecta; Coleoptera; Scarabaeidae.
GGACCAAGGAGUCUAGCAUGUGCGCGAGUCAUUGGGACUCUAACGAAACCUAAAGGCGCAAUGAAAGUGAAGGUUCGCCUCGCGCGAACCGAGGGAGGAUGGGUGGUCGCGAGUGGCCGCCCCGCACUCCCGGGGCGUCUCGUUCUCAUCGCGAGAAGAGGCGCACCCAGAGCGUACACGCUGGGACCCGAAAGAUGGUGAACUAUGCCUGGUCAGGACGAAGUCAGGGGAAACCCUGAUGGAGGUCCGUAGCGAUUCUGACGUGCAAAUCGAUCGUCGGAACUGGGUAUAGGGGCGAAAGACUAAUCGAACCAUCUAGUAGCUGGUUCCCUCCGAAGUUUCCCUCAGGAUAGCUGGCGCUCGCUUCUUGCGAGUCUCAUUCGGUAAAGCGAAUGAUUAGAGGCAUUGGGGUCGAAACGGCCUCAACCUAUUCUCAAACUUUAAAUGGGUGAGAUCUCCGGCUUGCUUGAACUGUGAAGCCGCGAGAUAUCGGAUCAGAGUGCCAAGUGGGCCACUUUUGGUAAGCAGAACUGGCGCUGUGGGAUGAACCAAACGCCGAGUUAAAGCGCCUAAAUCGACGCUUAUGGGAUACCAUGAAAGGCGUUGGUAACUUAAGACAGCAGGACGGUGGCCAUGGAAGUCGGAA